RNAcentral lists this ribosomal RNA (211 nucleotides) under uncultured fungus. Its description in RNAcentral is "partial 18S rRNA". It matches the Rfam family "Eukaryotic small subunit ribosomal RNA", at positions 1463 to 1671 of the family's 1831-position model. The record is from RNAcentral. Lineage: Eukaryota; Fungi.
UGUGAUGCCCUUAGAUGUUCUGGGCCGCACGCGCGCUACACUGGUCGGUCCAACAGGUACAUUCCGCCUCGGUCGAUAGAUCCGGGCAACCCUUCGAGACCCGACCGUGCUGGGGAUAGACCGUUGUAAUUGUCGGUCUUCAACGAGGAAUUCCUAGUAGGCGCAGGUCAUCAGCCUGCGCCGAUUACGUCCCUGCCCUUUGUACACACCG